Molecule: transfer RNA, 84 nt
Filed under: Ilumatobacteraceae bacterium
Lineage: Bacteria; Bacillati; Actinomycetota; Acidimicrobiia; Acidimicrobiales; Ilumatobacteraceae
Description: tRNA-Leu
Rfam family: tRNA
About the family: Transfer RNA (tRNA) molecules are approximately 80 nucleotides in length. Their secondary structure includes four short double-helical elements and three loops (D, anti-codon, and T loops).
Source: RNAcentral
GCCCGGGUGGCGGAAUUGGCAGACGCGGGGGGCUUAAACCUCCUUGUCCGAAAGGACGUGUGGGUUCGAAUCCCACCCCGGGCA